This 254-nucleotide ribosomal RNA is filed under the name uncultured bacterium. RNAcentral describes it as "partial 16S ribosomal RNA". It matches the Rfam family "Bacterial small subunit ribosomal RNA", at positions 524 to 776 of the family's 1533-position model. The record is from RNAcentral.
UACGUAGGGUGCAAGCGUUAUCCGGAAUUAUUGGGCGUAAAGAGCUCGUAGGCGGUUUGUCGCGUCUGCUGUGAAAACUGGAGGCUCAACCUCCAGCCUGCAGUGGGUACGGGCAGACUAGAGUGCGGUAGGGGAGAUUGGAAUUCCUGGUGUAGCGGUGGAAUGCGCAGAUAUCAGGAGGAACACCGAUGGCGAAGGCAGAUCUCUGGGCCGUAACUGACGCUGAGGAGCGAAAGGCAUGGGGAGCGAACAGG